Molecule: ribosomal RNA, 301 nt
Filed under: uncultured bacterium
Lineage: Bacteria
Description: partial 16S ribosomal RNA
Rfam family: Bacterial small subunit ribosomal RNA
Source: RNAcentral
CAGUGCCGCGGUAAUACAGAGGGUGCGAGCGUUAAUCGGAUUUACUGGGCGUAAAGCGUGCGUAGGCGGCUAAUUGAGUCGGAUGUGAAAUCCCCGAGCUUAACUUGGGAAUUGCAUUCGAUACUGGUUAGCUAGAGUGUGGGAGAGGAUGGUAGAAUUCCAGGUGUAGCGGUGAAAUGCGUAGAGAUCUGGAGGAAUACCGAUGGCGAAGGCAGCCAUCUGGCCUAACACUGACGCUGAGGUACGAAAGCAUGGGGAGCAAACAGGAUUAGAUACCCCUGUAGUCCCUGUCUCUUAUACA